Musa acuminata AAA Group (dessert banana) is the source of this 3835-nucleotide RNA transcript. It is a transcript of the gene named disease resistance protein RGA2-like, with no coding region annotated. The record is from RefSeq and is a predicted model, not a curated record. The transcript has 2 exons. Lineage: Eukaryota; Viridiplantae; Streptophyta; Magnoliopsida; Zingiberales; Musaceae.
GGUACAUUGUGCUUGAUGAUUCCUUCACUCUGUGAUCAAAGAUGGCCGUUGUGCUUGAUGCCUUCAUCUCCGGGCUGGUCGGUACGUUGACGGACAUGGCUAAAGCGGAGGUGGACUUGCUGUUGGGCGUUCCCGGGGAGAUCCAAAAGCUCCAACGCUAUCUCCGCAACAUCCACUCUGUCCUUCGCGACGCCGAGAAGCAGCGGAUCGAGAACGAGAGCGUCAACGACUGGCUGAUGGAGCUCACGGAUGUCAUGUACGACGCCGACGACGUCCUCGACGAGUGCCGGAUGGAGGCCGAGAAGUGGACUCCUCGUGCGUCCGAUCCGAGGCCGUCCACCUUGUGCGGAUUUCCCAUCUGUGCUUGCUUUCGCGAGGUCAAGUUCAGACAUGCGGUGGGCGUCAAAAUCAAGGAUCUCAACGAUCGGCUGGAAGAGAUCUCGGCCCGAAGGUCCAAGUUGCAACUCCAUGUGUCUGCGGCGGAACCAAGGGUGGUUCCUCGAGUUAGUCGCAUAACUUCCCCGGUGAUGGAGUCUGACAUGGUUGGCGAGCGACUGGAGGAGGACUCCAAGGCACUGGUGGAGCAGCUGACAAAGCAAGAUCUGAGUAAGAACGUGGUGGUGCUGGCAAUUGUGGGGAUCGGCGGCAUCGGAAAGACCACCUUCGCCCAGAAGGUGUUCAAUGAUGGUAAAAUCAAAGCCAGCUUCCGCACCACCAUCUGGGUGUGCGUGUCCCAAGAGUUCAGCGAGACGGAUCUUCUCGGAAAUAUCAUCGAAGGUGCUGGUGGAAAAUAUAAUAGAGAACAGAGCAGGAGUCUGCUGGAGCCCUUGGUGGCGGGUCUACUGAGAGGGAACAAGUUCUUGCUGGUGUUGGAUGAUGUUUGGGAUGCUCAGAUCUGGGACGACUUGCUCCGCAAUCCUUUGCAGGGAGGAGCAGCAGGCAGCAGGGUGCUGGUGACAACCAGAAACGCAGGGAUCGCGAGGCAAAUGAAGGCGGCCCACGUCCACGAGAUGAAGCUGCUGCCUCCGGAGGAUGGCUGGUCCCUCCUGUGCAAGAAGGCGACGAUGAAUGCAGACGAGGAAAGGGAUGCCCAAGAUCUCAAGGACACAGGCAUGAAGAUUGUUGACAAAUGCGGAGGGCUUCCCCUGGCCAUCAAGACCAUCGGAGGGGUCCUCUGCUCCAGAGGACUCAACAGAAGUGCGUGGGAGGAAGUUCUCCGCAGCGCCGCUUGGUCACGGACCGGGCUUCCCGAAGGUGUGCACGGAGCACUGAAUCUGAGCUACCAAGACUUGCCGUCCCAUCUCAAGCAAUGCUUUCUCUACUGUGCCUUGUUCCCCGAAGACUAUUUGUUUGACAGGCCUGAAAUCGUCAGAUUAUGGAUAGCCGAGGGGUUUGUCGAAGCACGAGGAGAUGUCAGCUUGGAGGAAACAGGGGAGCAAUAUUAUAGAGAGCUGCUUCAUAGGAGCCUUUUACAACGGCAACGUUACAGUCUGGACGACUACUUUGAGUAUUCCAAGAUGCAUGAUCUGCUACGAUCGCUCGGCCAUUUCCUAUCGAGAGAUGAGAUCUUGUUCAUUAGUGACGUGCAAAACGAGUGGAGAAGUGGUGCCAUCCCGAUGAAGCUGCGUCGGUUGUCGAUUGUGCCCACUGAAACCACGGACAUCCAGCAUAUCGUCAGUUUGACCAAGCAGCAUGAGUCGGUGAGGACAUUGUUGGUGAAGAUAGCAAGGGGCCAUGUGAAGGAUAUAGAUGAUUGCUUGAAGAACCUCGUGCGACUUAGAGUCCUCCAUUUUACAGGCAAUCUUGUGGACACAAAAAUCGAGAUUCUACCGCACUACAUUGGAAAUUUGAUACACUUGAGAUACUUGAAUGUGUCUUAUACCGAUAUAAUGGAGCUUCCAGAAAGCAUAUGCAAUCUGACGAAUUUGCAGUUUUUGAUCCUCAGACGAUGUACGAAGUUGACACAUAUCCCCCAGGGUAUAGUUAGGCUAGUCAAUCUAAGAACACUCAAUUGUGAACGUACAGACCUGGAGAGCUUACCAUGUGGAAUAGGAAGGUUGAAGCUCCUCAAUGAACUCGGAGGAUUCGUGGUGAACACGGCUACUGGUUCGUGCCCAUUGGAAGAAUUAGGCAGCCUCCAGGAGCUCAGAUACCUCUACAUUGACAGGUUGGAGAGGGCGUGGCUGGAAGUUGAACCGGGAAGAGAUACGAGCCUCUUGAAGGGUAAACAAAAACUGAAACAUCUACAUUUACAUUGCUCAUAUACAUCCGAUGAUCACACGGAGGAAGAGAUUGAAAGAUUCGAGAAGGUGUUGGAUGUGGCACUUCAUCCACCAUCAUCUGUUGUUUCGCUCAGGUUAGAGUGUUUCUUCGGCCGCCGGUGCCCCAGCUGGAUGGCGUCUGCAAGCAUCAGUUCGCUUCUUCCAAACAUAAGCCGCUUGGAACUAAUUCACUGCGAUCAUUGGCCACUGCUUCCACCGCUUGGGAAGCUCCCUAACUUGGAGUUCCUUGAAAUACGAGGUGCAUAUGCAGUGACCACCAUCGGACCGGAAUUUUUUGGGUGUGAAGUUGGUGCUACCGGUCAUGAUCGGGAACGGAAUUUAAAGCGCCCUUCUUCUUCUUCUUCUUCUUCUUCUUCUUCUUCUUCUACUUCUCCUCCUUCGUUGUUUCCGAAACUAAGGCAGCUGGAACUCUUGGAUAUGACUAACAUGGAAGUGUGGGAUUGGGUAGCGGAAGGUUUUGCUAUGCGUCGCCUCGACAAAUUGGUCCUCGGAAAUUGCCCCAAGUUGAAGUCUCUACCGGAAGGCCUGAUCCGACAGGCAACCUGCUUAACCACAUUGUUUCUGGCCUAUGUGUGUGCUCUCAAGUCCAUCAGAGGUUUCCCUUGUGUAAAAGAAAUGAGUAUAAUUGGUGAAUCAGAUCUGGAGAUUGUUGCUGAUCUCCCUGCACUGGAGGUCUUGAAUCUGGGACUGUUUGGGCGUCGCAACAAUCAUUUACCAGAGUGGUUGGCGCAACAAUCAUUCACUACGCUCCAGAGACUGGACGUAAUUGGAACCACCCAACAACUCGUCAGAUGCCUCCAAAAUGGCGCAGACUGGCCCAUGAUCGAACACUUUCCAAUUUUUUCCAUGAAAGAUGACGGAGGCAAUUAUAUAAACUACAUCAAGCAUUCCUGCACCUUCGACACAAACCUAGUCGAUGCUGAUGCUGCUUUUGCUGCUGUUGCUGCUGCCGAAGAAGAAGAAGAAGAAAGAAGAAGAAGACAUCAAUUAGCUUUGGGGUAACUUACCUUUCAUGCUCGCGUCUCGACCAUCUAACGACUUCUGGUUUUGGAGUGGCAACUCGCAGUUAUCUCUUCCUGCUUAUGGCAGGGAGAUCGACAUUAUUUCUCUAAUGUCAAUUUUGUGAGUGGAAUUUUGUUUCCAAGCAGUAUUAAUGAGGCACUUAUCGGAAGAAAUGCUAGACGAAUGAUGAUUGUACCUAUCGAUUCCUGCGGAUGAGGAUGUUCAGAGCACUUUGUCUUUUUUUUGAAAAAGUGUGUAAUAUUAAAUGUUACUUUUUAACUUAUCUGGGUUGUAGCAUUGUACAUCUUUCUUUGUAUUGAAUGCUUUAUAGCAUUCGUGACAAAUAUUUCAUGCAGAUGGAGGCAAGACAUGGAGGUCAAGUAUGUUAGGUCACAAAGAUGCCUCAUUUCCCUAUCUGGUCGAAUCAUUUCCAAAGCUUCUUCUUUUGUGCUCUGUGGAAGACCAUUUUAAACCGUUGGUUGGCUUUCUUGAACUUGUUGGUGUUCCUGAAGCAGGCAUUUCAACUGUACAAUUGUCAUUCCCACCUAUCA